This 63-nucleotide transfer RNA is filed under the name Staphylinoidea sp. 9 KM-2017. Its description in RNAcentral is "tRNA-Gly". Lineage: Eukaryota; Metazoa; Arthropoda; Insecta; Coleoptera. The record is from RNAcentral.
AUUUAUAUAGUAUAAAAAUUAUAAUUGAUUUCCAAUCAAUAGAUCUUUAAUAAAGUAUAAAUA